Molecule: unclassified non-coding RNA, 328 nt
Filed under: soil metagenome
Description: partial contains 5.8S ribosomal RNA, internal transcribed spacer 2, and large subunit ribosomal RNA
Rfam family: 5.8S ribosomal RNA (bases 1-120)
Source: RNAcentral
GAUGAAGAACGCAGCGAAAUGCGAUAAGUAAUGUGAAUUGCAGAAUUCAGUGAAUCAUCGAAUCUUUGAACGCACAUUGCGCCCCCUGGUAUUCCGGGGGGCAUGCCUGUCCGAGCGUCAUUACAACCCUCAAGCUCAGCUUGGUGUUGGGCCCCGCCGUCCCGGCGGGCCCUAAAGUCAGUGGCGGUGCCGUCCGGCUCCGAGCGUAGUAAUUCUUCUCGCUCUGGAGGUCCGGUCGUGUGCUCGCCAGCAACCCCCAAUUUUUUCAGGUUGGCCUCGGAUCAGGUAGGGAUACCCGCUGAACUUAAGCAUAUCAAUAAGCGGAGGA